RNAcentral lists this ribosomal RNA (608 nucleotides) under uncultured bacterium. RNAcentral describes it as "bacterial SSU rRNA". It matches the Rfam family "Bacterial small subunit ribosomal RNA", at positions 36 to 677 of the family's 1533-position model. The record is from RNAcentral.
CUGGCGGCGCGCUUACACAUGCAAGUCGAACGAGAAAGUGGAGCAAUCCAUGAGUAAAGUGGCGUACGGGUGAGUAACACGUGGGUAAUCUGCCUUUUAGUGGGGAAUAACGAUGGGAAACCGUCGCUAAUACCGCAUAAUCCCGAGAGGGGAAAGUCGCAAGACGCUGAAAGAGGAGCCCGCGGCCGAUUAGCUAGUUGGUGAGGUAACGGCCCACCAAGGCAAAGAUCGGUAGCCGGCCUGAGAGGGCACACGGCCACACUGGCACUGAAACACGGGCCAGACUCCUACGGGAGGCAGCAGUGGGGAAUCUUGCACAAUGGGGGAAACCCUGAUGCAGCGACGCCGCGUGAGCGAUGAAGCCCUUCGGGGUGUAAAGCUCUUUCGGCAGGGAAGAUUAUGACGGUACCUGCAGAAGCAGCUGCGGCUAACUACGUGCCAGCAGCCGCGGUAAUACGUAGGCAGCGAGCGUUGUUCGGAGUUACUGGGCGUAAAGGGUGUGUAGGCGGUUCUUUAAGUUUGGUGUGAAAUCUCCCGGCUUAACUGGGAGGGUGCGCCGAAUACUGAGGGACUANAGUGCGGGAGAGGAAAGUGGAAUUCCUGGUGUA